UUGAAAGGGAAACGAUUGAAGUCAGUCGUACCGGUGGGUAAUCAGCCUUUCGGCGUGAUUAUGUGGAGCGUGAGGAGUUAAACGCCUUCAUGCCUGCAUAUUCGUGUUCUUUGGGUGUACUUACCCGCAUGGUAGGCUAACGUCAAUUUCGAACGUCAUAAAAUGGUUGGGGGAAUGUGGCUUCGAUCUCGUAUUGAAGUGUUAUAGCCUCCGGCAGAUGUGAUGAUCGGGAUUGAGGAUUGCAACGGAUACCCUUCUGGGCUACCCGCCUGAUCUCUGAAAGUUGCUCUGGUGCCGAAAGCUCGCUUACGGUCAUCAAAGUUGACGUUCAACAGGUUAGAACGGGAUAAAUUCGUUAAGGAUGUUGACGUA
This 372-nucleotide ribosomal RNA is filed under the name uncultured Glomeromycotina. RNAcentral's name for it is "LSU rRNA". The record is from RNAcentral. Lineage: Eukaryota; Fungi; Glomeromycota.